RNAcentral lists this ribosomal RNA (532 nucleotides) under Fusarium torulosum. RNAcentral's name for it is "SSU rRNA". It matches the Rfam family "Eukaryotic small subunit ribosomal RNA", at positions 582 to 1116 of the family's 1831-position model. Lineage: Eukaryota; Fungi; Ascomycota; Sordariomycetes; Hypocreales; Nectriaceae. The record is from RNAcentral.
AUUCCAGCUCCAAUAGCGUAUAUUAAAGUUGUUGUGGUUAAAAAGCUCGUAGUUGAACCUUGGGCCUGGCUGGCCGGUCCGCCUCACCGCGUGUACUGGUCCGGCCGGGCCUUUCCCUCUGUGGAACCCCAUGCCCUUCACCGGAUGUGGCGGGGAAACAGGACUUUUACUGUGAAAAAAUUAGAGUGCUCCAGGCAGGCCUAUGCUCGAAUACAUUAGCAUGGAAUAAUAGAAUAGGACGUGUGGUUCUAUUUUGUUGGUGUCUAGGACCGCCGUAAUGAUUAAUAGGGACAGUCGGGGACAUCAGUAUUCAAUUGUCAGAGGUGAAAUUCUUGGACCUAUUGAAGACUAACUACUGCGAAAGCAUUUGCCAAGGAUGUUUUCAUUAAUCAGGAACGAAAGUUAGGGGAUCGAAGACGAUCAGAUACCGUCGUAGUCUUAACCAUAAACUAUGCCGACUAGGGAUCGGACGGUGUUAUUUUUUGACCCGUUCGGCACCUUACGAGAAAUCAAAGUGCUGGCUCCAGGCAGU